Molecule: long non-coding RNA, 813 nt
Organism: Mytilus trossulus (common blue mussel)
Lineage: Eukaryota; Metazoa; Mollusca; Bivalvia; Mytilida; Mytilidae
Exons: 4
Source: RefSeq, a predicted model, not a curated record
ACUAUCACCGUGGUUUGUGCGCAUGCGCAAGAAACGCCCACCGAAUUUCCUACUUUCAUUUUUGAAAAAUCUUCUAUUUGGAGAUAGAUUUGUACGCAUCUAUUUACAUUUUAUCUGCGAAAGAAAAUACACUUGCUCAGUUGCUGAAGUGGCUCUCUUUCUCGUCCUGAAGAGCACACCUAACUUCUAAAACGUAAAAAAAAUUAUGUGAAAGAAAAGGGAAACUAGAUAUUUGAGAGAUAGGAAAUAGAAGAAAAGGAAAAGAAAAAGGAAACUAAAUAUUUGAGAGAUAGAAAAUAGAAGAAAAGGAAAAGGUUAAUCAAGAUUUAGUGCUGGCCACACACUUAAGAAAGAAUAAGAACAAGAAUGUCUUUACAGAAUAGGGGAGACUAUUUUACUGCACUUAGAUUUGUGUUUUUGUUAUAAUUAACUGAUAUUGUAAUUUGUCCUUGGAUAAAAUAUCUGCAAUGUGGAGGACAACUGAACUGUGUUCUUAUAUAUUGAAGACCUACAAUGAUUUAAAAUGCAUGAACUUUAUACUACUGGAAAAUGGUUAUCAUUAAAGUAACAAACACAGAAUUUAUUUACAUGUAUAAAAUGUUAUCUGAAAGGUGAAAGGUGAAAGUAAACAGAUUCCUGGUUGUUUGAAUACAAAUCAAAGCAGUUGUAUUGUGUAGUUUAGAAUAUAUUUACGUUGUUUAUGCAUUUAUAUAUUGGAAUAUUUAGAAUUGUACAAUAUGUUUAAUUUUCUAAAACCUUCGUUCUAUGUUAUGUAGGUUUGAUUUUCAUGAAAUAAAAAGUUCUAAAAUUUUA